Molecule: long non-coding RNA, 973 nt
Filed under: Equus caballus (horse)
Lineage: Eukaryota; Metazoa; Chordata; Mammalia; Perissodactyla; Equidae
Description: lncRNA (ENSECAG00000052780.1)
Source: RNAcentral
GGAGAACACUAUGGAAGAGUGUGAAUUCCAGGAGGUGUGGAUCAUUGGAAGCCAUCUUGAAGGCUAGCUAUCAUAAAAACAAAGAAGAUGGGCCACACCUAGCCAGUUUUCUAUAGAUCUUUCUCUCCAGGACCCUGUGUCUCAUUACAGAGAUAAAUACUGGCCUCUCCUUGGUUUCCAUGGAGAGGAAAAUCCACUGGUACAGUUAGAAAUUCUACACAUAGCAAAAAAAAAAAAGAAAAGAAAAAGAAAAGUUCCUAAUGGGAAUACUAGCCUAGAUAACAGUGUUUUCCUCAGUGGACCCCUUCUGCAAAGGAGACACUGCUUGUGAAAUACUUGUCUCUGGCAAGAGACAGUGGAAUGUGGAACUCGGAACUCAAUGUGGGAACAAAGAAAUUUUAAAUGGUGUCCUUUUGCCUUCUUCCUUCAACUAGACUUUAAAGAGCUAUGUCUGUAUUGUUCACUAUUAUAUCUUGUGUGGGCUGGACAGUGCUAAGUGCUGUCAUUUAAGGAACCCCAGGUGCAAAGGCUUGGCCUCCCCCAAUCCCACACUGUCAUCUGUCCACCUCCCACACUCACCAAUUGAUGUACACUGUGAAGAUUUCCUGAGCUAGAGCCUGAAGUCAAAGGUAUUUGUGGAUUCCCCCUGGAGACUAUCCCAUCCUAAGGAUGAUGAAAGGAUUAAGGAGAAACCAUCUUGAAAGGAUACCAAUAGGUUUCAGCAGAACUGCCUCCGAAAAACACCAAGUCUGCGUUUCUGCACAAAAUCCGUGGGCAUUUGCCCGCCUGCUUUGUCCUUCCUCUAUUGCUCCCAAUUUCCCUCUCUUGGCCUCCACCCCCACUUCCCCCACCCCACCCCAGAGGGCUGGUUCCAAUUGCAAAGCCAUUCCUGCAACAAUCUCUGGCAACUGGAGUGAAAGGUGCCGACAAAGAGGCCCUCUCCACAGCUCCCUUUUCACAAGAAGCAUGUAUC